Molecule: non-coding RNA, 139 nt
Organism: Caenorhabditis elegans
Lineage: Eukaryota; Metazoa; Nematoda; Chromadorea; Rhabditida; Rhabditidae
Source: Ensembl
AAUUCAGACAAACAUGCAAAUGAGGGGGGUCGUCGUAGAACAUUCGUCACAUUGGCACCUAACAUGCCUUUACGGGCGCGCGUAUAGUGUCCCAAUGUUGCGAAUUUCAUUUGAUUGAUAGACAGUUAGGCUCGGUGGC